RNAcentral lists this long non-coding RNA (817 nucleotides) under Homo sapiens (human). RNAcentral describes it as "non-protein coding lnc-KLKB1-2:1". The record is from RNAcentral. Lineage: Eukaryota; Metazoa; Chordata; Mammalia; Primates; Hominidae.
GGCAAAAUCAAGUUCUACAUCUGUCCCUGUGUAUGUCACUUGUUUGAAUACGAAAUAAAAUUAAAAAAAUAAAUUCAGUGUAUUGAGAAAGCAAGCAAUUCUCUCAAGGUAUAUUUCUGACAUACUAAGAUUUUAACGACUUUCACAAAUAUGCUGUACUGAGAGAGAAUGUUACAUAACAUUGAGAACUAGUACAAGUAAAUAUUAAAGUGAAGUGACCAUUUCCUACACAAGCUCAUUCAGAGGAGGAUGAAGACCAUUUUGGAGGAAGAAAAGCACCCUUAUUAAGAAUUGCAGCAAGUAAGCCAACAAGGUCUUUUCAGGUACAGUUUCAGAACUUACUAUUUAACAUUCCUCUCAAGCAAAUACGCCUUGAAAUGCUUUUUUUAAAUCAUAGGAAUUUAAAAACACUUUACAAUAGAGAAUGAUUGAUUUUUAAAAUGUGUCUGAUUUAGCUUUGUAGAGAUGUUCCGCUAAUAUCCAUAACUAAUCUGAGAGGAAAUGUGGAACAACAGAAGAGUAACAGUGUCUACUCAGUAACAAGCGUUUUACGAGUUAAAAAGACAUCCAAAUGCAGUACUGAAAAAUCAGAAGUCUUGAUUUGUCUCACUGAUGACUCCGUUUUUCCUAGAGCAGUCUGUUUAAUGCUUACUGGAGAUAAAUAGAUUUAUAGGUGACCAAGACAAUCGAUUAAUGUAUCAGCCACAGACUUUUUUAAAUAGAAAAUUUUCUAAGUAGGAAAUCAUUCAUAGCUCUUUGAAAGAUAUAGGGAGAGGCCUCAAGGAAAGAAAGAAAGGAAAAAAAUUGGGAAAGGAAA